This 107-nucleotide small RNA is filed under the name Marmota monax (woodchuck). Lineage: Eukaryota; Metazoa; Chordata; Mammalia; Rodentia; Sciuridae. The record is from RNAcentral.
GCUGGGUGUAGUGGCACACAUCUGUAAUCCCAGCAAUUUGGGAGGCAGAGACAAGAGGUUCACAAGUUUGAGGUCAGCUUCAGCAACUUAGCGAGACCCUGUCUCAG